UUGUUACUCCCUCCGUACAACAAAAGAUAUUUUAAAUUUGUCAAAAUUUAAAUGUAUCUAUACAUGACUUAGCGUAUAGAUGCAUGACUUAGCGUAUAGAUGCAUUCAAAUUUAGUCAAAGUUGAGACAUUUUUUGUUGGACGGAGGGAGUAAGCG
Brachypodium distachyon (stiff brome) is the source of this 156-nucleotide non-coding RNA. Lineage: Eukaryota; Viridiplantae; Streptophyta; Magnoliopsida; Poales; Poaceae. The record is from Rfam.